RNAcentral lists this ribosomal RNA (552 nucleotides) under Klebsiella sp. Its description in RNAcentral is "bacterial SSU rRNA". It matches the Rfam family "Bacterial small subunit ribosomal RNA", at positions 108 to 656 of the family's 1533-position model. The record is from RNAcentral. Lineage: Bacteria; Pseudomonadati; Pseudomonadota; Gammaproteobacteria; Enterobacterales; Enterobacteriaceae.
GAGUAAUGUCUGGGAAACUGCCUGAUGGAGGGGGAUAACUACUGGAAACGGUAGCUAAUACCGCAUAACGUCGCAAGACCAAAGAGGGGGACCUUCGGGCCUCUUGCCAUCAGAUGUGCCCAGAUGGGAUUAGCUAGUAGGUGGGGUAACGGCUCACCUAGGCGACGAUCCCUAGCUGGUCUGAGAGGAUGACCAGCCACACUGGAACUGAGACACGGUCCAGACUCCUACGGGAGGCAGCAGUGGGGAAUAUUGCACAAUGGGCGCAAGCCUGAUGCAGCCAUGCCGCGUGUAUGAAGAAGGCCUUCGGGUUGUAAAGUACUUUCAGCGGGGAGGAAGGGAGUAAGGUUAAUAACCUUAUUCAUUGACGUUACCCGCAGAAGAAGCACCGGCUAACUCCGUGCCAGCAGCCGCGGUAAUACGGAGGGUGCAAGCGUUAAUCGGAAUUACUGGGCGUAAAGCGCACGCAGGCGGUCUGUCAAGUCGGAUGUGAAAUCCCCGGGCUCAACCUGGGAACUGCAUUCGAAACUGGCAGGCUGGAGUCUUGUAGAG